AGCGAACGCUGGCGGCAGGCUUAACACAUGCAAGUCGAGCGGGCCCUUCGGGGUCAGCGGCAGACGGGUGAGUAACACGUGGGAACGUACCCUUUGGUUCGGAAUAACGCUGGGAAACUAGCGCUAAUACCGGAUACGCCCUUUUGGGGAAAGGCUUGCUGCCGAAGGAUCGGCCCGCGUCUGAUUAGCUAGUUGGUGGGGUAAUGGCCUACCAAGGCGACGAUCAGUAGCUGGUCUGAGAGGAUGAUCAGCCACACUGGGACUGAGACACGGCCCAGACUCCUACGGGAGGCAGCAGUGGGGAAUAUUGGACAAUGGGCGCAAGCCUGAUCCAGCCAUGCCGCGUGAGUGAUGAAGGCCUUAGGGUUGUAAAGCUCUUUUGUCCGGGAUGAUAAUGACGGUACCGGAAGAAUAAGCCCCGGCUAACUUCGUG
RNAcentral lists this ribosomal RNA (433 nucleotides) under uncultured bacterium. RNAcentral describes it as "partial 16S ribosomal RNA". It matches the Rfam family "Bacterial small subunit ribosomal RNA", at positions 29 to 507 of the family's 1533-position model. The record is from RNAcentral.